GUUGUAUGGUUAAGUGACUAAGCGUACACGGUGGAUGCCUGGGCAGUCAGAGGCGAUGAAGGACGUACUAACUUGCGAUAAGCGUAGAUGAGGCAGUAAGAGCCACUUGAGUCUACGAUUUCCGAAUGGGGAAACCCAGCUGCAUAAGCAGUUAUCUCAAUGUGAAUACAUAGCAUUGUGAGGCGAACCGGGGGAACUGAAACAUCUAAGUACCCCGAGGAAGAGAAAUCAACCGAGAUUCCGGCAGUAGCGGCGAGCGAAACCGGAUUAGCCCUUAAGCUUAAUGAGCGCUAGGUGAAUGAGCUGGAAAGCUCAGCGAUACAGGGUGAUAGCCCCGUAACCAACGGCCAUCAAUAAGUGAAAACGAGUAGGACGGGACACGUGUUAUCCUGUCUGAAUAUGGGGGGACCAUCCUCCAAGGCUAAAUACUCCUGACUGACCGAUAGUGAACCAGUACCGUGAGGGAAAGGCGAAAAGAACCCC
Molecule: ribosomal RNA, 483 nt
Filed under: Photobacterium aphoticum
Lineage: Bacteria; Pseudomonadati; Pseudomonadota; Gammaproteobacteria; Vibrionales; Vibrionaceae
Description: bacterial LSU rRNA
Rfam family: Bacterial large subunit ribosomal RNA
Source: RNAcentral